AUGCCGAUGUCUGCCAAAGUUCCA
RNAcentral lists this non-coding RNA (24 nucleotides) under Arabidopsis thaliana (thale cress). Lineage: Eukaryota; Viridiplantae; Streptophyta; Magnoliopsida; Brassicales; Brassicaceae. The record is from RNAcentral.